This 63-nucleotide transfer RNA is filed under the name Archispirostreptus gigas (African giant black millipede). RNAcentral's name for it is "tRNA-Tyr". Lineage: Eukaryota; Metazoa; Arthropoda; Diplopoda; Spirostreptida; Spirostreptidae. The record is from RNAcentral.
AAUGAUGUGGCUGAUUUAGGCGGCGGACUGUAAAUCUGUUUAUAAUUUGACCAUUCGUCAUUA